GCCGGGCAUGGUGUCUCCUGCCUGUGAUCCCAGCUCCUUGGGAGGCUGAGGCUGGAGGAUUGCUUGAGUCCAGGAGUUCUAGGCUGCGGCGGGCUACGUGGAGCAGGUGUCCUCGCCAAGGUCAGCAUCAACAUGGGGGCUCUCUGGGGAGCCAGGGGCUACCAGGUUGCCUAAGGAGGGGCGAACCGGCCCAGGCUGGAGACAGAGCAGGCCAAAGCUCCCGUGCUGAGCAGUGGUGGGAUUGCACCUCAGAGUAGCACCUGCAGUGUUAGCCUGGGCAAGAAAGCAAGACCCAGCCUCUC
Unclassified non-coding RNA from Podarcis muralis (Common wall lizard), 302 nucleotides. It matches the Rfam family "Metazoan signal recognition particle RNA". Rfam says of the family: The signal recognition particle (SRP) is a universally conserved ribonucleoprotein. It is involved in the co-translational targeting of proteins to membranes. The record is from Ensembl. NCBI's taxonomy places the organism in Eukaryota, Metazoa, Chordata, Lepidosauria, Squamata, Lacertidae.